This is a non-coding RNA of Pelobates cultripes (western spadefoot toad), 19059 nucleotides long. NCBI's taxonomy places the organism in Eukaryota, Metazoa, Chordata, Amphibia, Anura, Pelobatidae. The record is from the annotation of a GenBank genome assembly.
AACGAACUGGUCACACUCACUGCUCUGGAGCUCAGCCAAAAGAGGAAAAGCAUUGCAAACACUCACAGAAGAACAUUUUGCAAGACAAGGGAAGGAAGUACAUGUGAAACCGAUUCUGGGCUUAAACAGAGAUAAUUUCUGACAAUAUCUCAUUCUUAACGUCAAACCCUGGGGAAACAACGCGGACGUCUGUGCAUUUUCCUGCUUGGUACUUUACACGUGAACAGUUAAAAAUCACAGAAGAAGAGAGAAUAACUUGUAAGUAACAUCUGGAACUGAUCUGUGAAUAUCUUGGUGCGUGUUUCAGCUUUCUCUGAUUUAUCCCUGAACAAUCUCCUUUUAUACACACACACACACACACACACUUUGCUCUCGGUAUUAUUCAAUACAUUAGAGAUAUCACACAAUACAACAAUAGGGUGCCUCGAUGCCCCUUAUUACUACUAUCCAUUUAAAAAAAAAAAAAAUUUGCCAUCACAAUUUAUAAAGACCUCCUAAUAACAUCUGUGAAAAGGCAGGUGGAUGUUUUAUGUACAUUAUUAUUCUAAUUGUAUUAUUUAUAUAGCGCCAUCAGAUUCCGUAGUGCUGUACAAUGGGUCUGAUCAUGUGGUAGAGGAACCCCCUUUUAUUCUGUAAACAGGGGUGGCCAAUAGAUAGAUCUGAAGAUUUUGUGAAACAAACACUCAAAAUGUCUUUUCACUCUUAAAGUUGAUAAAGUAUGAUGGGAUGAUGGGAGCUGUAGUCCUCCAGCAGCUGGGGGGUGGGGAGGGGUUAAAGGGUCUACCAUUGCCCAUCCCUGUGUUGGGAGUCAUGCCAUUAAAUGAACGGAUAAAACGUGGGACACAAAUUAACAUCACAUGUUACUAACACUCCUACACUGAACAAUUGCAUGCAAAGUGUAAAAUGUUAUUCCAAUAUAAGUUUAAUGAUUGCACACAAACUCCCAUAGGCUCGCAGUCAUGAUAUAUGUUUGAUAAAUGGAUUAAAGGCAGCAAUGUAUACCUUGAUGUGACUAACAGACGGAAAUGUUGACUGUUGUGUAGAACACCAGCAAGCCCAUGGCUAAUUCACUGUAUAGUUACUAGUUACCCAGAUUAUAUUAGGUUUACGUUGCCACAGGCUACAACAUGUUCUGUGUAGACGAUAGCUGGAUAACAGAUAACAUUGGGUUCUACUUUAAACAAUGACAGGUCAUUCAUAUCAGCACUUUACUAUAAAACACAAGUAUAUGUCAGGUACAAAAUAACGUACAGAAAGGGUGCAGCCACAAAUAUAAAUAUAAAAUUAAUAGUGAGUAAAACUUUAUAGGAAUAUCACAAAUGAUCUCAUUUGUUUGGCAGGGUAUGUCUGUAAUGUAAUGUAAUGUAAUAAAAAAUAAAAACCACACAGAACAAAAAAUAAUAAUAAUAAUAAUGUCUAAAAGAGUUUAAAUAAUGCUCCACUCAAAAACCAAUAGAGGGAUAUGUUCAAUCUUAAAAAGUCUAACUACCACAGCCAAAAAGCAUGUGGUGUUACUAAAAACAACUGCCAUUUUAUUAAUUUAUUGAAAUGUCUUCUGUGACAAAGUAAAAAAGUUUGGGAACCCAGAGGUGCAUGACCCACAGGCAUAAAUUUACAUAGUUCAAGACUACCUCUCCCCAACUGCGGAAUGCAAAGGGUUACGGGGUUACUCCCAUGGUCCAGUAACAGUUUGUCCAGUUAAAGGAAUAUACAGGCAGGAGUGAAAGAUACGGAUUACUGAUCACCAUAACUAUUACCAAGCAAUUUCCAAAAGCCACAAGAGGUAUCGACUGUGGGCUAAACCUUGGGAAAGAGAAGAGCCUGGAUACCUAGGGCAAUCCCUGUGUGCUCAAAGGCUCAUCUCUACACGGGGACAUUUCUAGCUGUCUGAAUUUGCCAGGAGGAUAACCCACAUCCCCAGGCUGUGCAAUUCCCUAUACAUGACAUAUCUGUAACUGUACAACUACCCCUGGGAGGAAAGGGACUCCCAUAUAUCAGGGGGUUGGGGGGGGGAGGGGGCUAAGAAUUUGUCUCACGGACACUGACUUGUAUUCUCCAGCACCGAAUAAAAUGGUUCAUCUCAUUUAACCAUAAAACCCCCAAAUAAACCUCAAAUACCAACACACAAAAUAAAGCCCUGCACUCAAACUCCCACUACUCCUGGGCAGCAGCAAUUGCUCCGGUGCACAUCAGCCCAAAUACACAGAACAAAGUCAAGAAAAUAGGGUUACCUGCGUAUUAUCCCAAAUUCCUAUCCACAUUUAAAUAACAGAAUUUAUACCAGUCACAGUGCACCUUUUUUAUUAUAUUAUAGAGCAUGCGAUUAUUAUUUUAUUACAUAACAAACAAAAUACUCUGGCCAAUGGGUAUCGUGAUAUGCACAUUUGGUGCACAUAACUAUCAUAUGGGGGGGAUUACUGGUUACCUAUUUACCAUUGGGUCCCUGAGACACCCUGGGAUCUCUUCCCAAAAUAUAAGGAAUUGUGGAAAACAGAAUUCUAAACUUUGAAUCAAAGUAGCUUAACUGGAGAUUUAUUUUCCACAGUCUAGCAAUUUUAGCUUAAAAAAAAAUCACAAUUGCCUAAUUUUUUUGUGACUUGAAUAAAAAUUUCUACUGUUUUUCAAAAACUGGUUGAUCGGGUUUCUUGCAGAACAAUGUGAUACUUCGGGGUUACCUAAAGAAACAAACAAAUAAUGACAUCAAUAUUUUGCACGAUUCAUAAAAGAAACGUUAAAGGGUUUCCGUUGCUACAUCUGUUAUCACCUCUCCUUUCAUGGGCAACCUGUAGCCUCUGCUGACUUCUAUGUCGCACACAGUUUGGGAUAUUUUGGGUUUAUACAUUCCAGGACUCCCCCACAGUGACACACCCUGAGAAAAGCACAAGGCAUAACCGGCUAUUUAUUACUACUGACAUUCGACAUUGCCUGUCACUGGUUUAUGAGAAGUUAAACAUUGUCACAAAGUGCAUUAACAGUUCAAGAGAAAGGAAACUAUUUUUUGUUAACCAUUGCAGUGAAGUAAGAGACAAACAAGUGGUGGAGUUUUUGGGCCUUUCCAUAAAUUAAAGUACAACACAAACAAAGUACAUAAAACAAAACAAAAAUGUUUCUAUUAUUUGAGGUUGAAAUUAUUUCUAUCGAAAUAACAUCUGCUUUCAGCUCCAAACCUAGUGGAAGGCUGGCUGAACUUGCUGGGAUUUAUAGUUUGGUAGCAGUGAAAGGGGUGGUUGGGGACAGAAGGGGGCACUAAAACAUAGGACAACUAUCAGCUGGCAAAGGACAGCAGCAAGACACUAUAGGGGGUGACUGUGAGCUAUCUCACCCACAGAAAAGAAAGAAGCCUAGAUCUGUACUGGCCAUCUCUAUCUGGGGGUACCUGCGUUGGUCCCAAACGGCCAGGAGGAUUAGUAGCCACCACACUCAUCACACGUGCAAUGCCGUUUACAAGAGAAAUCUCUCAUUGCAGAACUACCACAGGGCUGGACAAUUACAUGUAUCUGUAAUUGAAACUACUGAAUAAUAAGCUUAUACUUUCGUUAAGCAUGUUUUUUAUUACAUGUGAUUUUCCACUUUUUCAAUAAUGGGUGGCAGACAGGCACUAAUGUUAAAGGGGAAAUGUCACAUCCUGUGUUCGCUUACAUUUACACCGAUCAGCCACAUAAUUAAAGCCACCUGCUGCCUAAUAUCAUGUAGGUUCCACUAGUGCUGCCAAAACUGCUCUGAUGUAUCAAGGCAUGGACUCCACAAGACCUCUGAACAUGUCCUGUGGUCAGGGCUGGUGCAAGGAUUUCUGCCGCCCUAGGCAAAUGAGAAAUUUGCCACCUCUCCCCCCCAUGUGACAUCACACGACCCCACCAAAAUGAUCUGCCAUAUGAACCAAUGCCAAUGCUGGCCACAGUGUGUGUUUACAUUAAAAAGCCUGCAGGGACAGGCUAUAGACACCAGAACCACUUCAUUAAGCUGCAGUGGUUCUGGGGACAAUAGUGUCCCUUUAAUGUGAGGUAAAUUAGAGAUUAGUGCCACGAAUAAUAUACUAGAUUGCCUACUUACAACCAGAUGAGGAUGAUGAUGGGCUCUGGCUGCAGUCUGGCUCCAGUGGUCUGGUGUAGAACAGGAUCUCUGGAGGCUGUUUGUAACUGUGGUCACAAAAGUCAAUGUUCUGGAGGAACGUGAAGCAGGUCCAUUUUGUUUGGGCCCCUUGCACAGCUCAAGGUCUGGGCCCCCAGGGUCUGACAGUGAAUUUGCCCAUAAGGCCCACCCAUAAGUCCACCUACAUGCAGGGCCGCCACCAGAAAUUUUGGGGCCCCUGACAAAGCACAAGGUCUGGGCCCCCCCGCAAUGAAUGCGUAGUGUAAUGAAUGCAGUGUGUGUGUGUCAGUGCAAUGAAUGCAGACAGUGUUAGUGUAAUGAAUGCAGAGUGUGUGUCAAUGUAGUGAAUGCAGAGUGUGUGUCAGUGUAAUGAAUGCAGUGUGUGUGUCAGUGUAGUGAAUGAGUUGUGUGUGUCAGUGUAGUGGAUGCAGUGUGUGUGUCAGUGUAGUCAAUGCAGAGUGUGUGUCAGUGUAGUGAAUGCAGUGUGUGUUAGUGUUGUGGAUGCAGAGUGUGUGUUAGUGAAGUGGAUGCAGUGUGUGUGUGUUAGUGUAAUGAAUGCAGUGUGUGUGUUAGUGCAGUGGAUGCAGAGUGUGUGUGUUAGUGCAGUGGAUGCAGAGUGUGUGUUAGUGCAGUGGAUGCAGAGUGUGUGUUAGUGUAGUGAAUGCAGUGUGUGUGUUAGUGUAAUGAAUGCAGUUUGUGUGUUAGUGCAGUGGAUGCAGUGUGUGUGUGUGUGUUUAUUAGUGUAUGCAUGUAAUGUAAUAACUGUUAUUCUCCCCUCCCUGUUUCUUACCUGGUUCAGGAAGGGGGGAAGAUGCCAUGAUACCUGGUGGUCCGGUGGCAUUGUGGGGCCCCCCGGCUCCCUAUACUGACAGAGGGGGCCCAGCGGACUGCAGCUGUACUUUACAGCAUUUCCCUCGCUCUAACUCCCACGAGAUGUGGUGCGCGCGCUGCGCGGAGCGUUGCCAUGGUAACCCAUGGCAACGCUCUAACGGCCGCACGUCUCGCGGGAGUUAGAGCGAGGGAAAUGCUGUAAAGUACAGCUGCAGUCCGCUGGGCCCCCUCUGCAAGUAUAGGGAGCCGGGGGCCCGCGCCUGUACCUAUAUAUAGCGAUCACCUCUAUAUACAGGUGCAGAGAGUAAUUGUGGGGCUCUGGACUGCCAAAGCAGUCCGGGCCCCCCAUAACCCCCGUUAUGGUUGUCACCCCCUGAUGGCGGCCCUGCCUACAUGUUCCACCCAUGAGUUCGCUCACAGGGAGUGGAGUGUGUAGGGGAUGUGUUACGUGUUAGCGUAGAGGAUCUAAAAUGUGUGCUUAUGGAAUGCAGUGUAUAGGGAUACCAGUUUGUGUAGGUGAUGCAGUGUGUGUGUGUGUGUGUGUGUAGUGGAUGCAGUGUGUUUUUGUGUAAGGGAUAGAAAGCAGUGUGUGUUUGUGUGUAAGGGAUGUGUUGUGGGUUUCUGGUUGUGUUUAAGCGAUGCAUUGUGUGAAUCUGUGUUCGUAUGUGUAAGGGAUGCAAGGUGUGUUUCUGUGUAUGUAAGGGGUGCAUUGAGUUUCUGUGUGUGUAAGAGAAGCAGUGUGUGUGUGUGUGUGUGUGUAAGGGAUGCAUUGUAUGUUUCUCUGUGUGUAAGGGAAGCAUUGUGUGUGUGUGUAGUGUGAAAGAGAGAGUUUGUGGGGUUGGAUAGGGGCUGAGUCCUACCAACCCCUUUGAGCUUCACUUUCCCCCCCCUUCCUCAUCCUCUCUCACCUCUUGUCCCUUACUCCUCUCCUGUCCUUUAGAGCUCUUCCCUGCCUCACUGUCCCUUAGUGAUCCAACCUGUCCCUUAGUGAUCUCCCUGCCCCCUUUCCCAUAGUGCUCUCCCCUCCCGUCCCUUAGGGCUCUCCACUCCUGUCUCCUAGUACUCUCUCCCUCCCCUACCCUCCCCCCGUCCCUUGGUGCUCCCCCUAUCCCUUAGUGCUCUCUCCUCUCCCCUGUGCCCCCAUAGAGCUCUCCCCUGUCCCUUAGUGGUCUCUCCUCCCCUGCCCCUUAGUGGUCUCUCCUCUACCCCACGCCCCCAGUGGUCUCUACUCUCCUCUGCCCCCUUACUCCCCCAGUGGUCUCUCCUUCCUCCUUUCCAUUAGUUGUCUCUUCUCUCCCCCUCCCCCUCUCAGUGGUCUCUACUCUCAUCCCCUGCCUCCCUUAGUGUACUGUACUCUUCUCCCCCUUAAUGGUCUCUGUUCUCUUCUGGCCCCCCCUAGUGGUCUCUCCCAACUUCCUUUUCUUUAGUUAUCUCUCCUUUCCACCCUUUCCAUUAGUGGUCUCUCCCCUUCUCCCCCCCUUUCCAUUAGUGGUCUCUCCUCUCCCCCACCCCUCCUCUCCUAGUGGUUUUCCUCUCCCCCUUCGUUGUCUCUUCUACCCCCCACACUUAGUGGUCUCUCCUCUCUCUCCUUCCCCUUAGUGGUCUCUCCUCUCCUCUCAUCCCUAGUGGUCUCUUUGCCACCCCUCCCUCCCUUAGUGGUCUCUCCUCAUCCCCCCUCCAAUAGAGUUCUCUCCCGGACCCCCCCUCCCUCUGUGGUCUCUCUCCCCCCAUUCUCCUCACCCCCCUUAAUGGUCUCCUCCCGCCGUUCUUCUCACCCCUCUCUCCUACCCUGUGUAGCAUGGCCAAGCUCUGGUCCGGUACGCGGUACAGGAGUUUCUGUUUUCUGUAUCCAGCCGGAUUGACUCACUCAGUGUCCCAGUCCGGCUGGGUACAGGAAACGGAUGCUCCUGUACCGUGGACCGGACCGGAGCUCAGCCAUGCUACACUGAGGGACUGCCAGGAGGGAGCGCGUUGCUCUUCCCUCCUGCUGAUCCCUCAUAUCUUACGCCCCCGGCCGGUGCGCCCUCGUGGAUGCGCCGGCCCCGGUAGUGCUGCAGCCAGCUGAAGCUCUCUAAAGAGCGCUCAGGCGGUUGCAGCAUGAGGGGGACCGGCGCUCCUGCCGGCGCCCCUCCCUAAGGGGCACCCUAGGUGACUGCCUAAGUUGUCUAAAGGAAGCGCGGCCCUGCCUGUGGUAUGUGACACCAAGAUAUUAGCAGGAGAUCCUUGAAGUCCUGCAAGUUGAGAGGUGGGCCCUUAUGGAUCGGAUUUGUUGUUCCAGUACAUUCCACAGAUGAUCAAUUUGAUUUGGAGACCAAUGCAACACCUUGAACUCAUGUACCCCAAACCAUUCCUGAAGAAUGUUUCCAAUGUGGCAAUGUGGCAGAAAACGUGAUUCAUCAGACCUGGCAACCUUCUUCCAUUGCUCCAUGAGUCUGACACUCACAUCCCCAUCGAAGGUGCUUUCAGCAGUGGACCGGGGUCAUCAUGGGCUCCUUGACUGGUCUGCAGCUACACCGAUCCAUGCACAGCAAGCUGCAAUGCACUGUGUGUUCUGACAACUUUCUAUCAUGGCCAGCAUUUUGAGCUCUUCUGUGCGAUCAGACCAGACUGGCUAACAUUCGCUCCUCACAUGCAUCAAUGAGCCUUGGGUGCCCAUGACCCUGACGCUGGUUCACCAGUUGUCCUUCCUUGCACCACUUUUGGUAGAUACUAACCACUGCUGAUCCCUCUACAGACUGCUGUAGUGGUUAUGGUGCCACACCGUGGUAACAUGUCAAACCAUUUUAGCACAGUCUGGCAACUUACCCGGUUCUUGCCAGGUGCCCACCCUGCAUCAACCACAUUCAGUCUACUCCAACAAGAAGCCGGAUUACUCUAUAGAGCUAAGAAGGACCACACAGGACCGUGCUCAUUGGUUGAGAGAGAAAGUGAGCUGAGCAUUUUCAGCCAAAGUCCUGCAUCAGCCGUGCUUUGCUCUACAGAGACCUGCUAGAGAAGACCAGAAGCAGUUGAUGCAGCACAGGCAUCUAACUGGACAUGAGUAGGCUUUCCAACCAUUUUGUAAAUUUUCCACAAUUCCCAAUUUAAAAGAUAACGGUCACCUCAAAACUAUUUUUUAAUAUAACAAUCCUUUAAUAAACACAUCCCUGCCUUUAGUAUAUGACAGGAUCCUUUAGCCAAUUACAUGAAUGUUGAUCAGAUCGUUAUGGAAAACCAACAGUUGGUCUCUAUGGUCUUCCUUGCUUUGGUGCAGUGAGUGAAUCCCGGAAGAUCAUAGAGUAACUGCCAGUUUUCAAACACUCUGUAGAGUAAAGCAGCACCAUACAGGGCCAUGCUCAUUGGCUGAGAGAGUCAGCUGAGCAUUCUCAGCCAAUGAGCAGGGUCCUGCAUCAGAGACCUGCUGGUGAAGACCGGAAGCAGCUGAUGGAGCUCAAAAACCCAGUUGGACCAAAGUAUGUUCUCAAACCAUGUUAAAACACUUUGACAUCUUACCGUGAAAUAGCUAUAGCGGAUUAUGGCACUUGGAAUGUUUCUUUAGGCGCUUUUGGUCUAAUGCAAAGGUGAACUGAUCCUUGUGCGUAUCCACCUGCAUUGCAUUCGAUGAGAAAAUUACACAUGCCAUUCCAAAAUAACUUGUAAAUUCUCCACAAUUCCCAAUUUAAAGGAUAACUGUCACCUCAAAACAAUUUUUUUUAAUAUAACAAUCCUUUAAUCAACACAUUCCUGUCUUAAGUAUAUUACAGGAUCCUUCAGCCGAAUACAUGAACAUUGGAUCAGACAGUUAUGGAAAGCUGACAGUUAGUCUCUAUGGUCUUCCUUGCUUCGGUACUGGGUGUGAAUCAAGAAAGACCAUAGAGACUAACUGCCAGUUUUAAAACACUGUCCAACCCAAGGCUAUGUAUAUGGCUGGAGGACUCUAUCAUCCCAUUAUACAACACUACGCAGUUUGCUGGUGCUAUAUAAAUAAUAAAAUAAAAAUAUAUUAAAUGUAUCAUAAUAUAGUAACAGUAAGCAUGUUUAUUUAUCUAUUUUUACAUACAAAUUAUUUAAAAACAAAUAUAUUUCCUUUGAAAACUUGAUAAAAAAAAUAUUAUAAUCAAAAGGUUUUUGAGAGGGUACUAGCACGGAGCGGUUUGAUGAAUAAACGACUCCAUGCUAGUAACCUCUCAAAACCUCUCGUUAUAAUAAAGGUAAGUGUGCAGACUGUAAAGCUCAGGACUUUGUAAGCAAGGAGAACGAAUAUUUGACAAAAUGGUGAUAAACCAAACUUGUCGUGCAAAGCAUAACUGCGCAGAACAACUUGACAAUAACUCUUGGCGUUAUGCUGUUUGAAAUGUACAUGUGUCAUUCUCGCCAAUGUUUAUAUUUAGUUUGCAGCACUUUCUGCUAAUUGGCAUACAUUUCACAUGUAUGUACGCAGUCCUGAUUCCCAAAACCACCAAAAAAGGCACUAAUGUCUAAAAAUCACUAUUUAACUGUAUAAAAAUGUCCAAGCUAAUACAAAGUCGUUUAAUUACGCAAAGACUGACGUUUAUUAAUAAUGUCAUCAGCGAACACUCCAAAGUGAUUUAUGAAGGGUUUUAAAGGGAUAAAAAUUGCAAAGUUCACCAGAUGGGGGUCGCUCUGUUCCAAGUACAUAGCAGACAGACGCACGCUGGCAUUUACCUUUAACAUUAAACUAUACUUCCUAACUUUUUUUGAGAAAUAUAUCAGAAUGGUAUAUGUUUUAUUACUUAUUUAUGGAUAUACCAUUAUCAUCAUGUAUUAUUUAUCUUUCCUAUUAUUAUCCCUUUAUUAUAUUUCUCUUAUAAAUUCAUAGUAAUACAAAAUAUUAAACAAUAAAAAAUAAAAAAAAGCUUAAUAAUUCAGUAAUAUACAAGGGGUCUUUUAAUUAGGGUGUAAUCGCUUGUCUUUUAAGUUCCAUCUCCCAGAGACAGUUACUGAGCAAUGCGCUAUUGGCACACAGUGAGUUAAAGAGAUAUUGUAUCAGAUCAUCUUUACAGUAAAAUAUGUGGUGUGCAAUCUCAUUAGACACACAUGGUGGAAAUGGUGUAACUCCAUUGCAAUAAUUGAAAUAUUUGUAGAAUUUAGAGUCAGAGAUACCCAGAAGAGCCAUCUGGAAAUAUCGCAAGGUGGUGUAUAGAGUGAACUUUCCUUACCGCCUUAUACAAGAUCACUACACAACUAAAGAUUGAUGUCAUUGCAAAUCUUAUCCACGAAUGUAAAGUGAGCAAAGCAACACAGGUUCAAUACAAGGUGUUCUACCAUAUAAAGAUUAAUGUAUAACAUACACAUGGCAUUUUACUAAAGUCAGAUUUGUCUGGAAUUCACUGAUUUUAGACAAAAAUAGCCCCCCCCCACCCAGUUAGCUAAGCUUUGAAUUCACCUGUUUUGGCCUUGAAGGGUAUAUGUGAGGCCCCACCCCACUUAUGCUCUUUUGGAAGAACACACCAUUUUAUCUAUAUAUUGUGCUUGAUUGGGAGAAAAACUAUUUUAAAAAUGGGUAUUUCUUCCACCUCUCAGUCAAAUCUUUGGCAUUAACUCCAUGCUGACAAUUUAGCUGACUAGGGAGGGCAGACAAGACCUCCCAGAAGUGGUCCUUCUACUCUCCCAAGCAUAGCAACCGCAGCACAUGCACUGUAGUUGCUAUGGUAACUCUCUAGCCAACAUGUAGACGCCAGCAUGCUAGCAAAAAAGUGAGUGUAUCGGCAUUACACAGGAAAUGUACUCUGCUUGGGGAAGUGUCCCUAAUCAGGGCAAACCACUGAAGACGGGAGGAGGAGCAGAAGAUGGACUGCAGGUGGGCGUUAGAUAAAGAAAACACCAAUGCAGCUCACCUAUGGUGAGUAUAUGUUGAUGUUUUACAUUGAAUACAACAAGUAUUUCUGUGAUACAUGAAGUAUUUAGUGUAUUUGGUGCUAAUUUGAGGUAAGUAAAAUUUCUCAUUACAUCACUUUAAACUUGAAAUUCAUGUUAAGUUAGUCGCAAGUUUAACUUCAGUAAAUAACUCCGACAUUCCAACAUUUUAAAUGAUCAAAGAGUGAAAUUGUUUUGAAAAGAAUGUGAAUGGAAUUUACAUUACUGAAAAUAUUUCGGGGAUUAAUUCUCCCUUGUGCUGAAUGGUUUGAAUACCUCAAAAAUAGACAAUUAUGGGCAAGGUAUGAAACCUACAUUUCCUUUGAAAAUAAUCUUCUCGCCUUAAAUUUACAGAGAUCAGAAGAUCACUACUGCAUAGCAAAAGCAAAACAGAACAGAGCAGUUACACCCAUUACGAAGAUAACUAUUUACUCAUUCAGCAGUUAUAGAGCUGCGUUAAAAUACCUGAGAUAAUAAAUACCAUCAGAUUGUAUUAUGAUACCGUUAAAUUAGUAAUCUGCAAUUACUGUCCUAUAAUAAUGGCGAUGUACAAAUGAACAAAAACGUUCAGCUCUAUGGAAUAUGUUGGAGCUAUAUAGACAAAAAAAAUAGAAGUCAAUGCAUCAGAAUGCUUGGUUGUAUAGGAGGAGGUAUUAGCAGUAGAAAGAGGGAAGUGCUCAUGCCAUUGUACAGAACACUGGUGAGACCUCACUUGGAGUAUUGUACGCAGUACUGGAGACCGUAUCUGCAGAAGGAUAUUGAUACCUUAGAGAGGGUUCAGAGAAGGGCUACUAAACUGGUUCAUGGAUUGCAGGAUAAAACUUACCAGGAAAGGUUAAAGAAUCUUAACAUGUAUAGCUUGGAGGAAAGACGAGACAGGGGGGAUAUGAUAGAAACAUUUAAAUACAUAAAGGGAAUCAACACAGUAAAGGAGGAGACUAUAUUUAAAAGAAGAAAAACUACCACAACAAGAGGACAUAGUCUUAAAUUAGAGGGACAAAGGUUUAAAAAUAAUAUCAGGAAGUUUUACUUUACUGAGAGGGUAGUGGAUGCAUGGAAUAGCCUUCCAGCUGAAGUGGUAGAGGUUAACACAGUGAGGGAGUUUAAGCAUGGGUGGGAUAGGCAUAAGGCUAUCCUAGCUAUAAGAUAAGGCCAGGGACUAAUGAAAGUAUUUAAAAAAAAAAAUUGGGCAGACUAGAUGGGCUGAACGGUUCUUAUCUGCCGUCACAUUCUAUGUUUCUAUUGCCUUGGACUUUAAACAAUUUUACACGGAUGCACAAUUUUCCACACUUACAGAAAUCUUAUACACACAUAAUAACCAUAUUCUAUAAAACACAGUUUUAUUUCGCUAUUAAAGCCAUUUGUUCCCUGCAAUGUGCUCUGAAAGUUGAGUAUUUUUAGCUAAAUAUGUUAUUCAGAGCCUCUACUUUCCUAUUGUAAAAGCAACCAAAUAACUUAAAGGGACACUACAAGCACCACUGCGUGAGGUCCUUCUGUUUUUUAUCAAAGUGUUGUCAAGUGAUUUAUGAAAAUGCAUUGGAUUUACCGACACCCCUAGCCCACCCGAUCACCUUGGGACAUCAUACUGAGAAAUUACACUUACCAUCUGUUCAAAAUAUUUGUUUAAGUGUUUAGUGAUAGGGUGUGAGGACUGAUGGAGGAGAAUGCAUACGUACUUUCAAUUUAUUGGCACCAGAAAGGGAUUAAAGGCAAUUUGUCAGAGCAGAAUCCUACUUUACCCUAGUGUCCGCAUCCUCCCAUUGCACAGACAUGCAAAUAUACAAAUAUUUUGUAAAUUUUGUACAGAAAAUAUUGCUGGGAACUUUUAUAUCAUCAUGUCUAUAGCAGAGGUGAGGGAUUGGGGGGGGGGGGGCUUAGGUUAUUGGGAGAUCUUUUUGUGUGUGUGCUGUUCCGUAAACUGUAUUUUGUAUAUAUUUAAGUCUUUAAAUAUACUACACGACUGAGAAAUACAUGUUCCAAGUGUGCCCCCCAAAUACCCUUUUUUCUGUGCUAGGAGAUCUCUCAGUUUUUGUCAAACAAGAUUUAAACAGUUUCACGAAAACUGUUGUUGUGGUGAGAUUGCUAAAUCACAGGACCACAUACAUGCACAUGGUCAGUUGUGUCUUGGGACAUAAGAUCACGUUAGAAAGAGUACUGACUGCUUUCACACUGUAAGAGACUUCCCUCGUUUCUUGGUAACCUUAUCUUGUGUUUGCUCCCCAAGGUCACAUUGACACGGAUAUGCUGACAUCACCGCUCCCUCACCGCUCCCAUAUAAGCAUUGUCCUUCAUUAGACAUGCUUCUCAGCUUUUUUUUUAUAUAUACAUACAGACUUACUCACUCAAGUGAGAAUACAAAGUGAAUUUAAAUUUCAAGGCCAUUGUAACCAAUCUUACUUAAGAUAAUUUUAUAGUUUGGCUAUUUUGACCUUAAAGGGACACUAUAGUCAUUAGAACCACUAUGGCUUAAUGUAGUGGUUCUGGUGUCUAUAGCCUGUUAAAGCAGGCAUGGCACUGUAAACGCUGCCUAUUCAGAGAAAAGGCAGUGUUUACAUUGGUGCCUAGUAACACCUCUAAUUGCAGUCAAUCAGACGGCCACUAAAGGUGCUUCCUGGUCCAGUGCUGCACUGGCGUUCAGCUGAACACUAUAGAGGUGCAUUGAUUCAAUGCAUCUCUAUCAGGUGAUAUGGAUUGAUGCAGCAUGGCAUUUUGCUGUGCAUGUGCAAUAGCCUCCCAAUGCUUCCCUAUGAGAAAGCUUUGGAUUGGCUGAAAUCAUCAAGAUUUCAUGGCACAACCCUCUGAAAACAAUGGAGGGAUGAUGACAGAUAGAGAAUUCUCAGCUUUCUCCUGAAUAGUUUCACAUUUGCAGCAAACAAAAGUAGUUCUGGGCAUGGCUGCAACAUGUACUACAUCACUGGUGAUGGUCUAACUUAUAAUGGCCAUCUUUUUAAAAGAAGAGAGUGUUAAUUACUCAGGUUUCAAUUCUUAGACAUUGACAUUAUUAUUCUAGCAGAAUUUUUCAUUGUCAUAUGUCUAUUUAAAGCGGCACUGUCAUGGCCGCAUAAUUUUUUUUUUUUUUUUAAUAACCCCCCUCCCGACUCCACUACAUCUAAUUCCCUCCCUAGUCACUCCUAAAAAAAUUUGGUUCCCGGACCUAGGUCCUGGGUGCCGCCAUCUUUGCGUGGGUAGAUAAAGGCCCUGUGGGACACGUCAUCUGCCCACACUAGAUAGUGCUGUGAAAUUCCCGCGGACGCCCAGUUAAACAUUUGGGCAUUCGCCAUUGUCUGAAAAUUGGAUGGGAAUUUUGUCUUUUCAUUCGUCAGAAAGAUGAAUGAAUGAAUAUAAAUGUCAGACGAACGAACAAGCACUGAAUAUCGGUGUUCGUUUGUUCAUUCGUUUAGUUUAUUACAAGGAGGGAGUUACCGGCGCACGGCUCCCUCCUUGUAAUAUGUAAAGAUAGAAGCGGCAGGGAGUUGUGCUCCCCGCCACUUCCUAAGCCCCCCAUGUCCUCCCUCACUCUAUGGGGGUCAAUAUGAGAUUUAAAUGUCAUGUCUACAGUGAGCAGCCUGUCACAGUGUUAUGAGUCAAAUUACACAACAUGGGAAAAUUCCAAAGAACUUUCCCACGCUGUGUAAAAUGACUCAGAGCAUUCUGAUUGGUUGGAUUCCAAGCCAACCAAUCAGAGUGCUGUGACAGGUAAAUGUAGAGACUCACCUGUCAGAGCACUCUGAUUGGUUGGCUUAGAAUCAACCAAUCAGAGUGCUCUAAACCUAAUUGCAGGGUGUGGGAAGGCUUUAUAAUCCUUUGCUCGCCCUGUGGAACUCAGUCUGCGUGGUGCCCUCCCUGGGUGAAGAUGGAAUAUUUUUUGGUGUCCAAAUUUUUUUUUAUUUUAUAAGUUUGACGGGUAUUAUGUUUUUUUUUUAUUUGGCCUUUUUUGGGGCUGAAAAAAGAAGGUUUUUAGGAAAAAAAGAAGACAUCAAAUGGUAAGUAUUUUUUUUUAUUACAGGUAUUUAGUUUUAUUGUCUCACCCCUCACUAUUUUUAGGGUGACGGGGGGAUAGGUAUGGCUUUAUUUAAUUUUAGUUGGGUGGGGUGGUGACUAGGAUCUUGGGGACCCUUAGUCAUCUUGGGGGGUAUUUUUACACUUGGCACCCACCCGUCGCCCAUAGGUCCCCCCCUAUUGUAAUUUAGGGCCCCCACACACUGCUAAUGGGUGGAGGCCAGGGGAGGAUAAUUGGUCCCCCCCAAUUUUCAUUUAGGGCCUCCAGUGGCAGUCAUGGGUGGGGGCCAAUGGGGAGGACAAUAGGUCCCCCCUCUUUGUAAUUUAGGACCCCCACCAGCCGCUCAUGGGUGGGGGCCACGGGGGAGGACAAUAGGUCCCCCUCCCCCAAUUUUUAUUUAGGGUCCCCACCCGCCGCUCAUGUCUAUGUCAUUAAGUUAAAUAGCCCCCACUCGCGGGGCACGGGUAGGGGUUUGGGGAGGACACUAUGUCCCCUCCAGGCUAGUUAAGAGAUGCCCCUUGAUGGGGCCAUUUAUUGCCUCUACUCGCGAUAUAGCGAGUAAGAGCAGUUUAAUUACUAAUACUAAGUAAUUUUUACUUUGUAUUAGUAAAGUUAGCUGAAAGACAAAUCUUGGUCUUUCAGCCUUUUGCUAGAUAGCUCCCUGAUACCGUGGGAAUUAGGAAGCUAUCUACUAAGCAGCUUCAAAUGAAAUUUCGAACCGACCUAAAAGUACCGAGUGUUGUCCUAACAUGAAUAAACAAACUGUUCUCAUUCUGUUAGACAGAAUGCCGGCGAAUUUCAUUCUAAGUGACAGGACGUUCGGGAAUACUGACAGGAAGCAUCACGGAGAAAAGGUGAGAAUUGUGGGAGAACUGCUCUGACCACAGGAAAUGGAGCACACUUUGCUCCUCCGCUGGUCAUAGCUGGUCAGGCGUAGGAAAUAUACACAAGACAAAAUAGUCCCUACUUUGUCUUAUGUUUAAAAGAAAACUAGAGCAGAUUCUGACAGAGGAAGAGAAGAGGAAGCGAUUAGGGAAAGGUAAGUUCGUCAUGACAGUGCCGCUUUAAGAACGCAUUUCAAAUGUGAAAACGGUCAUGGUAAUAGCCUUUAUGCAUCAGUCGUCAAGGAGACUUAUUACACUUUACGUCAGAAACGGACUACUUUUUUUUAUUUUUUAUUAUUAAUCCUUUUUUCAGACAGUGUAAUACUUUAGAGAUAUUAACGUUAUUUGUGAAAGGUUCAGUUCUACUUACAGCACCGUGAAAAAUAACACUAAAUAAGACCUGUGUCACGUAAAGUGUAGAUACACAGUAACAGAACGGUCAUUUCAUUCAUCUAUAGAUCACUUGAAAACUGCAUUAAUAACGAACUGCAGUUACAGAUAGUAUAGGUCCCAGCUAAGAUCUUGAUACUGUUAACCACCUCUGUAUAACCAGACAUGCAUUGUACCGGAAAAUGAAAAUGCAAUGUUCUUGCACCUGUCGACAACUUAAAUAAAGAAUUAAAAAAAAAAAAAAAAAAGCAGAAGAGCCAAUCCUUACCUAAAAAUUUCCUAAGAUCAAGGGAUAGGUUAUUUUAAAUAUGUAACCAAGACAAUGAGGAAGGAAGAAUAGUUGCUGAGAUCGAAGGUCAGGUUAUUUUAAAUAUGCAGCACCUGCCAACCAUUUACAGAACUAUGGAGAACAUUGAAGGACAACUGUCAACUAAAAACUAUUAUUUUUUUAUUUUUUAUAAUUCUUUAUUUUAGUAGUGCAGAGUAUAUUACAGGCGUAAGCAAUGACUUGUACAACACAAUCAUAGUAAACAAAUAGAGGCACAAGAAGUCAAGAGAUACUGCACUUUUUUUUGUUAUAGCAAAAUAGGAACAUGAGUAAGACAAGAAAUGAUAUUAUAAUGAUAUACAAGGUACGAAACAGUCGAGUGUCAUACUAAGCUGACUUGUCUAGUUUGCAGGCGUUUUAGCUGUGCUAUGAUAUGAGGAGCUUCAUGAAAUCAUGCUUAGGCUUAGGCAACGGCGCUGGCUUUAACAUAGAGACUUUAGAAUAGUCAGAAAUAUGUAGUAAACUAUACAGGUUUAUGUCGCUCCAGAUACCCCGUCGCUUAUGUCAGAGGCUAGGUAUGUCUCCCAGUGGGUGGUCAAGCUUUGAGCCACAGCAAGAAUUAGUGGAUAGAAAAAGAAACCAUUAUUAAGCUUUUCUUUGGGACAGGAACAUGGUAUCGGUAUAGAUACCACUCGAGUCUACAGUCACGACUUAGCCCGACACCUACCAGAGGCACUGGGCAAUCUUGAAUAAAGCCGAUUCUUUGUGAGACUUGCUAAAGCUGUGCCUGCUGGUCUGGUGUUAACCGAUUGAGCUUUUUCAUGCUUGGUAGUGCCAGCGUGUUUUCUUGCGGAGUGAAAACAUGCGCACCAGAGCAGGGAAUCUACACGACUACUGGUCGUAAGUGCGAGCCGUCGUAAAACAGGUAGGUCGCUAAAUGAGGACCACCUGUAUUGUGUAAGGAGUACAGAUUUGUAUUCCAUACACUAUAGAAUCCCCUUAAAUGUAGAAAUCCACACCUCUUUAUCCUGCGACUGAGAGGCCCCAUCUGUCAAUUAUUGUUUUAAUCCGUAUUCUUUGCACUAUAAUCUGUAUUGUUUGCACCAGGCAGUCAGUAGAGAGAAAAACAUUUAGAGAAGAGAAGAAAUAAAAUGUUUUAUUUAUCUUCCUCAUUUGCAAUGUGUUCCCGGUCUGUGCCUGGACUGUGAUAUAAUUUGCUAAAUCUUUAAUAUACAUUUAAUAGGAAAAGGUUCACAUUAAACAUGCUUCUCAAUCAUCCCAAUUUUGGAGGGACAGUCCUGAUUUUGGAUCCUGUCCCGCCGCGCCAACUUUGUUUCCUUGUGUCCUGAUUUUGGGGAGAAUCCAGGGCUCUAGAACCCUGCAGAAAGCACAGAAAUAGUGCACCCUGCUUGGUCUCUACCCAUUGGGCUGGCCUGCUUGAUUGGCAGGCAGCCUCAUGCAGACUUGCCCCCCUUUCCUAAGGGCUAUUAUGCCCCAUUGGAAAGAGAUAGUAACACAAUUGUGUCACUGGCCAACCCCCUUUACCUUUCUCCUGCUUCUCAGGAGGCCGAUGUUGUGUGAUAUGCAUUAAAACAGUUAAAACACGUUAUAAGUGAUUUUCUGUGUUUUAUUCAACAGUGCAGUUUCAAAGUGAUGGCUCUUCCUUUAAUCAACUGAUACCCCAUUGUACAGCGCUACGGAAUUUGCUGGCGCUAUAUAAAUAAUAAUCACAAUCCUGCUCAUGCCAGACACAGUCCACUAGAGGUGGAGAAGCAGACACAUUGGGGGAGAUCAAAGCGUCACGUUCUGAAACUGUUACAUACAUGUAUAAUCCAUUGGAGGGGACUCCAACUGAUUGUAUCUGCUGAUUCUUCUCAUUUCCAUCAUCAUUGCUCCACUUUUAGUACGUUGCAACAUUUUUCACAAUAGGACACUUUGAUAAAUCUCCCCCACUGUUGCUUCACAAGCUAUGUUUGAUGCCAGAAGUACAGAGUUUCUAACAAUGAUUGACAGGGAUCCAAGGUAGAUCCACUCUGUUCCAUAAUUAUAGAGCAGUGUGAAUAUAAGCAUAUAAUAUUAAAUAUAAUGGACAAGUAAACAUAAUAUUACAAAUUGUUGGAAGUAAUAGUUCUGUAAGCACAUAUUUGUUUUAUACCUAUAUUAAUGCUCUAAUUUUAUUCUUCUUCUUUAGAUCAGAGAUGGCCACCUGUACCUGUGUCUGCUGGGGUAUAUUUUGGCUUGUGGUCCUUCUCUUCGUGGCAUGGCCCCUGAGUAUUUUCUUUGGUGGCCUAUAUGGGUUCCUGGCUCCCCUAACCACCUGCAUAGGACUUGACAAAUUCACCGACCUCCUGCUUCAAGGCGUAAACCUGGGCAGAACCUGCGCGCUAAACAUCCGAAGUGGAAAAUCUCUGUGCGAGUAGUAUGGACGCAAUGCCGGUCCAAAGUUCUAUUUUAAAAACAUAUCAUUCCAAGUCUGCUGAUUGCAAUAACUUCUUCCUGUCUAAUAACAGCAUAGUUUAACUCUUGUUGCCUGAUCUGUACAAGGGUGCAUCGUAAAUAUAAUAUAAUGGUGCUAUAAUUGGUAAGAAGACCAAAUGAUCUAAAACAUUCUUUUUCAUUGUUCCAGUUUACAUUUUUAUACAAUUUACAAAGCCUCAAUAUAAAUGAGUUAUAUAUAUAUAAACAAACAACAAGCUUUUUGUACUGAUGCACAGAAUAAAGAAAGAAGCAGACAGGAGAAA